This 573-nucleotide ribosomal RNA is filed under the name Triticum aestivum (bread wheat). Its description in RNAcentral is "partial small subunit ribosomal RNA". Lineage: Eukaryota; Viridiplantae; Streptophyta; Magnoliopsida; Poales; Poaceae. The record is from RNAcentral.
AUGACUGAACCGGUGAAGCUCAUCGGCGCCUUCGGCAGCCCGUUCGUCCACCGUGCGGAGGUGGCCCUGCGCCUCAAGGGAGUCGCUUACCAGCUCAUCACAGAAGACCUCUCCAACAAGAGCGAGCUGCUGCUCAGCCACAACCCCGUCCACCACAGGGUGCCGGUGCUCCUCCACGGCGACAAGGCCAUCUGCGAGUCGCUGGUCAUCCUCGAGUACAUCUACCAGGCCAUUGGCGGCCCGCCGCUCCUGCCAACCGACCCCGGCGAGAGGCCAAGGCCCGCUUCUGGGCCAAGUUCUUUGCCGAAAAGGAUUCGCCAACAAAUUCCAAAUAUAAUCUCAUUAUGCCAUACACGGAAGGUUCUCAUGGAGGAUGCUAAGGAACACUUGGCGAUAGUGGAGACGCAGCUCAAGCAGAAGAGAUUCUUCGGAGGCGCUGCCAUCGGCCUCGUCGACAUUGCCGGCGCCAGCGUGCUGUCCCACUGGGCAGGCGUGCUGCAAGAGGUCGCAGGGAUAACUGUCAUGAGGGAUGACGAGGAUGGAGGACUACAACGCCGACGAAGUUGUCACUAA